UGCCGCCUGUGUCCUGAGCAGGUCCCU
This 27-nucleotide non-coding RNA is filed under the name Rattus norvegicus (Norway rat). The record is from RNAcentral. Lineage: Eukaryota; Metazoa; Chordata; Mammalia; Rodentia; Muridae.